UAAGUAACCUCUAGCUGCUAUUGCAUCUUCAGGAGGCCUUUCCAUCUGGCAGGUGUAACCUUUGGAGAAGACAUAUGCUACCAUCACUCUUCCUCUCCACCCACUGAGCUACAGCUGAGGUGAUAUGUGAUCAGAUGAUUCAGAGAAGACCCUCAGGGCAGGACUGCCUAAAAUAUCCAGAUAUUUGUACAGGCCUGGAUAAUGCUCAGCUCUGCGAGGUACAUGCUUGCUAUCUCUGCCUAAUUUUCAGGCACCUUUUUGGUAGGAAAUGGUGUCAGUGCUUUCCCCAUGCUCCGAUAAGCAGCACAUCACAGAGUGAAAUGCCCAGGAAGCAUAGGAUUCUGCUUGGGAUCAUCUAAUGAAUAAAGAAAUUGAAGACUGCAAGUUCAUCCUGCCUAGACCGCUUGUAUGGUGAGUGACAAGCUGAUGCUAAACUGACUGCAAUGUUAGCUACUAAAAGCCUCAGGCAGCAUACAGCAGGUAAACGGUUAAUUAAAAUGAUUCUUCAAGGAUACUUUUAAAGGAACAUGGAGCCUUUCCAAAUCUCCACAUGGAGUUAUUGAUGGAAAUUGCUGCUUCACGUUUUCUCUCAGGGAUACACACAGGAUGGGUUAUCUUAACUGUUUCUGACAUUUCUUCCAUCUGACCAUGAGGAUCCUGAGAUGGGAAGAUUAAAUUGCUCCUGUAAGAAUGAGAAGUGACACAGGUGAAAGCCAAAGAUACAGAAAUGUUUAAGCGACAUAUGAAGAUUCCUGAUAAAGCCUGAGCUCUUUUCUAGUACGGGGUGAGCCAUGCACACUGGAGAAUAGAUGUUCUCCUUGUUCUCUCAGAGGGCUUUGUAGCCUUUGCUUGCCCAAAGGCAUGCCAGAUUUUUUUCCUUUCUCCUGAACUAUUUUUUUCCAGUUUCCACUUUCUCAUCUGUUCCUCAUCUUUCCUCCCCCUAUCUCAUUCAUUUCUGAACAGCAACCUUCUUUUGCUCCAUUUAUUGAACUCUUUCUCAAAGUAAUGCAAUUCCUAUCCAUAUCCAAAUCCUUCUUCCUGACUUGUUCAUCCUUUCUCAUCCAUUGCUGCCUCCUCACUUGCACUAGCUCCCACUCCCUUUUUUUCCCACCCCAGACUCAGACUCUAAGGUUACCUUCUCCUGCUGCCAUCCCUUACCCUCCAGUGGCUUCAGCUCUUCCCUCUCCACUGUCUGAUAUUUUUUUCUUUCUCUGUGCCAAUGCCUGACAGAGAAGGAGUCACUGAUUAUAUGUCUUCAUUGUAAUUAAACUGGGCCAGAGCCCAUUCUCUGGCACCAACAGCGAGUGGCAUAGCUUGGCUCACAUCCAUACAGCUAAACACUCUUCCUCCUGUAACAGGAUGGCUUUAUCCUUUCUGCCUAUUGGGAACAGCCCUUGGCAAGUGCUACUUUCUGAAUCCUGCCCAGACACAGACUCUGAGAGUACUCCCUAGCACAAGCCAAAACUGUGCCAGGGAGCAUGCUAAUAAUUAAGCACUAUAGACUGUGCUACAGGCCUUGGUGCUGUUUAAUUUACUCGUAAAAGUGCAGCUGAGAGAAUGGGAGAGCCAAUGUCCUUGCUUUCAACUUAGGUAUAGACUCAUGCAGCAGCUGCAGGGGUUGUUUUGGCCCAUGUGAGGACAGCAGGCUCUGAAUGCUGUGUGAGCCUCUGGAAACAGUUGUCUUUCAAGCAUAAACUUGGUUAAGUAUUGGCAGGGUCUUUUAAUCUAGUGGAGGUGUGGGAAGCAAGUCCUUGGUUAAACUCCUGCCCCGCUGCCACAACUGCCAAG
Melopsittacus undulatus (budgerigar) is the source of this 1788-nucleotide long non-coding RNA. RefSeq lists it as uncharacterized. The transcript is spliced from 3 exons. The record is from RefSeq and is a predicted model, not a curated record. NCBI's taxonomy places the organism in Eukaryota, Metazoa, Chordata, Aves, Psittaciformes, Psittaculidae.